GUUCCCCAACAACAAUAUUACAACUGCUUAUGUAGUAGUAUCCAGUGUCUUAGGUGUUGUGAGCAAUCCAGAAUGAUGUGAAACACGGAAGAUUGCCAGGACUGACAGAGUCAUGUGUGAACUGAAAAUAUUCCGGGUGCUCAGCAUGCUGAAAGUCCUGCAUGCUGAAAAUCCUAACUACUGGGUAGCCGAGGAAGGAGGAUCACGUGAGAUCAACACGUAUAAAUAACCCAGAGGUGAGUUAAAGUCCCUGAGGGGAUGCACAUAAGAUAUAUGCACUGUUACACCAUUUUAUGCAAAACAAAGUCAGCACCCACAAAUCUUGGUCUCUUUGAGGGUGCCUGGAAUCAACCCUUAACAGUAUGAAGGAAAAAUGAAAAGACUGUACUAAUAAAGACUGUGACAGGAGACAGACCUUAAAAAUGCCGCACUA
Peromyscus eremicus (cactus mouse) is the source of this 433-nucleotide long non-coding RNA. RefSeq lists it as uncharacterized. The transcript has 2 exons. NCBI's taxonomy places the organism in Eukaryota, Metazoa, Chordata, Mammalia, Rodentia, Cricetidae. The record is from RefSeq and is a predicted model, not a curated record.